GGAAGGCCAUGGCUCCAUGUUAGAGCAUCUACUUUGCAUGCAGAAGGUCCCAGGUUCAAUCCUUGGUGUCUCUA
Podarcis lilfordi (Lilford's wall lizard) is the source of this 74-nucleotide non-coding RNA. NCBI's taxonomy places the organism in Eukaryota, Metazoa, Chordata, Lepidosauria, Squamata, Lacertidae. The record is from the annotation of a GenBank genome assembly.